CUUACCUACCCUUGACAUGUACGGAAUCCUGCUGAGAGGUGGGAGUGCUCGAAAGAGAACCGUAACACAGGUGCUGCAUGGCUGUCGUCAGCUCGUGUCGUGAGAUGUUGGGUUAAGUCCCGCAACGAGCGCAACCCUUGUCCUUAGUUGCUACGCAAGAGCACUCUAAGGAGACUGCCGGUGACAAACCGGAGGAAGGUGGGGAUGACGUCAAGUCCUCAUGGCCCUUAUGGGUAGGGCUUCACACGUCAUACAAUGGUCGGUACAGAGGGCUGCCAAACCGCGAGGUGGAGCUAACCCCAGAAAACCGAUCGUAGUCCGGAUCGCAGUCUGCAACUCGACUGCGUGAAGCUGGAAUCGCUAGUAAUCGCGGAUCAGC
RNAcentral lists this ribosomal RNA (379 nucleotides) under Pandoraea sp. CAS24. RNAcentral's name for it is "bacterial SSU rRNA". It matches the Rfam family "Bacterial small subunit ribosomal RNA", at positions 970 to 1353 of the family's 1533-position model. The record is from RNAcentral. Lineage: Bacteria; Pseudomonadati; Pseudomonadota; Betaproteobacteria; Burkholderiales; Burkholderiaceae.